AAAUAAUUAGCAUAUUUUGAUGUGCUUUGAUAAAUAACUAUAUCAAAUAUGAGAAAAUAUGACACUUCCGAAACUGGACCUAACUUUAAAAGAAAUAAAAAAACAACUCGGUAGUGAUCAGCCUCAGUCAAGUAGUCCGUCCGCCUUUGAGAACCAGCAGAGCUUUGUUGAUUGUCUCUGAUGAUCCAGAUGAACAGGUUCCAGAUGACCACUUCCUCCUUUUCCUUUCAAUCAGCCAUAACCCUAUCAUAUGAUCCCACACAGGCUUCCUGGUUGCCGAGGAAGAAAUGGUGUGCAGCAGAGCUUCAGAACGCGCUUUUUAGGAGCCUCAAUGACUACACCCUGGAGCAGAUGAGUGACCGCAGGAGGCAGAAAGCUGCGGAGGAUGGAGAGCGGAGUCUCAUCGGGCCUCCAUCCGGACACGCCGGGGAGAGCCUCCUGGGCCGAGACGCCUCCACUCCGUUCUUCGUCUACCUGCUGGCCUUUUUCUCCGCCCUGGGAGGCUUCCUCUUCGGCUACGACACGGGGGUGGUGUCUGGAGCCAUGCUGCUGCUGAAGAAGGAGAUGCACCUGAGCGCCCUGUGGCAGGAGCUGCUGGUUUCCAGCACCGUCGGAGCGGCGGCGCUGUCCGCCCUCAGCGGAGGCUUCCUGAACGGCUGGCUGGGGCGCAGGGUCUGCAUCCUGUUGGCCAGCUUCGUCUUCAGUGUCGGUGGGGUGGUCCUGGGUGUGGCCCAGAUCAAAGAGGUCCUCCUGGUGGGCAGGGUCAUAGUCGGUUUGGGCAUUGGCAUCGCUUCCAUGACCGUUCCUGUAUACAUCGCAGAAGUUUCCCCCCCUCACCUGAGAGGCCAGCUGGUCACCAUGAACUCGCUCUUCAUCACCGGAGGCCAGUUCGUUGCCAGUGUGGUGGACGGGGCUUUCAGCUACAUGAGUCACGACGGCUGGAGGUACAUGCUGGGUCUGUCUGUCCUCCCCGCCGCGCUGCAGUUCUUUGGCUUCAUCUGUCUGCCGGAGAGCCCCCGCUGGCUCCUGCAGAAGGGGCGGAGCCAGGAGGCGCGGCAGGUCCUGGGCCGGAUCCGGGGGGGCCGGGACAUCGAGGAGGAGUACGACGCCAUCCGAGGCAGCAUCGAGGAGGAGGCGAGGGACGGGGGAUCAGGAGGCGUAGUCAUUUUACGCAUGCUGAGCUACGGCCCGACUCGCAGGGCUCUGGUCGUCGGCUGUGGCCUCCAGAUGUUUCAGCAGCUGUCUGGGAUCAACACAGUCAUGUACUACAGCGCCACCAUUCUGCAGAUGGCGGGGGUGCGGGAAGACAAGCAGGCCAUCUGGCUGGCCGCAGCAACCUCAGCCACAAACUUCGUGUUCACCUUGGUCGGGGUGUGGCUCGUGGAGAGAGUGGGCCGCAGGAAGCUGACCCUGGGCAGUCUGUUAGGUACUGGACUGAGUCUGGCUUUGUUGGCCGUCGGGUUCCUGCUGUCGGCCCAAAACUCCCCUGCUGUUACCCUCCACCCUGUCGACGCUCGCAAUUCAACCUGCAGACUUUACGGGUCCUGUGAACUGUGCAUGUUGGAUCCCGACUGUGGAUUCUGUUACCUUGAAAACGGCACCAGCGUCUUCGACUCUUCGUGCCUUCCUGUCGAUCCGGCAUCAACGGAUAGCGCAGCCUGGGGAAGAUGUUCUAACAGGACAGAGGAAUCUACCAGCCCAUAUUGGGCUUACAACCACUGUCCUACGCCGUACUCAUGGGUCGUCCUUUUGGGCCUCAUUCUCUACCUUGCGUCGUUCGCUCCAGGUAUGGGCACGAUGCCCUGGACAGUGAACUCGGAGAUCUACCCGCUGUGGGCGCGCAGCACCGGAAACGCCUGCUCCGCUGGCGUCAACUGGAUCUUCAACGUCCUGGUGUCGUUGACAUUUCUUCAUGUGGCAGAGUAUCUGACGUAUUAUGGCGCCUUCUUCAUGUACGCGGGCCUCGCGGUGCUGGGCCUCCUCUUCGUCCUCUGGUGCCUCCCGGAGACGAAGGGUUUACAGCUGGAGGACAUUGAGAACCUGUUCACCAGGCGGCUCUGCUCCUGCGGAGGCUUGCCGGCCAACGACAGUCGGCACGUCCACUACGUCCGGGUAAAAGGCAACAACUACCUCCAUUCAGACAACGAUGCCUCAGAUGUAGACUAGUCCUGGCAGCUCGGUUGGGUUUUUUUUCUUUCUCUCUCUCUCUCUCUCUCUCUUCACUCUCUUUGGACUCUACUUUCUUUUCUGCUCUUGGGGGAGGAAAGAUAAUCACGUUGCCUUCUAACUGGGAUUAGAAAACACUGGCUGACUAGAACUAUUCUUCCCUGUCAGUCAUUGUCUUCCACUUCAAAAAGGGAAACAAGACUCUAAAGGCUUACUGCUGACAUAGACUGGUUUGCUAUUGUGUCAGAAAAACUCCUGGGACGCGACCAUCGACAUGAAACAAUCAUCCGGCUGCAACAAUUUGAACUUUGGAAAGAAGUGACCAAACCUUCAGUUCCCUCAGCCUAUGUGGAGCAGAGAGAGACGCUGAUUUUUACAGCUCCAGAGCAUGAUUUCACUCUGAUUUCACCUCCUCCUUUAGUCUAGCCUGGGAGAGUUCACAGACGGGACAACAAAAACAAGAACGAGUUUGUGCGCUUUGCUCUUAAACUCCACGACGAUUCCCAAUGAUUUCCGCCACAUCUGGGCUUUUUUUCUGCAACACGCAUUCUUGUUAAAUUCACUAACACGGGUUUAUUCUCUCAAUCUGCUCUGGUGGCAAAGAAAACAACCAAUGGUGGUUUGCUGUUGUCCUCGAACUGAGAGUCUGCACUAUGUAAGCUGAUUGGUGUUUUAACAAAUCUAAAUGUAGUUUUUAAUUGCUCUAACGAUUUUUUUUAGAAAAUGUAAGUUUUCUUACGUAAUUAUUUUUUUUAGCAAUCUUCAGAUUUCACCGCGGCACAGUAUGGAGCCGUGGAGUCAGACUGUGCCAUAGCGUAUAUCACUCUCAGAUAACAGCAGCCAAGUGUCCCCAAACGGCUUCGUUUUUGCACAGGUCCUCUUCCAUACGUGCCCUUUUGAUUUCAUGCUACUGUACGCACUUUGAAGUUGAACAGGAUUUCUUAUUCAAAAUCCUUCUUAUGUCAUGAUUUAAUAUCUGCUGUACAGACCUUCAUGUGUUUGUAAAUUGCAAAAAAAAAAAA
Molecule: RNA transcript, 3188 nt
Organism: Fundulus heteroclitus (mummichog)
Lineage: Eukaryota; Metazoa; Chordata; Actinopteri; Cyprinodontiformes; Fundulidae
Gene: slc2a13b
Gene name: solute carrier family 2 member 13b
Exons: 12
Source: RefSeq, a predicted model, not a curated record